AGUCUACAGAGCAAUGUUCCAUUGGAUCCUAUUACUGAGCCAUCUCCUUCAUCCCCCUUUCCGCCCCCUCCUCUAGGUUUCCGAGAGGGAGCAGCAGGGGAUUGGCGCCCGUUUCCCCGCCCGACAGCCCCCCGACCCGUGGCCCCAUUACAGCGCGUGGGCGGCGAUCCAGCAGGAGGAGGCGCAGAUCCACAGGCCGAAGGAGAUGCAGACGCGGUGGCGGGCGAAGCAGCGGUCCAGGAGUCGCUGGUGUUGAUGCUGAAAAGUUACAGGAUCUCUUCCAGGAGGAGGAUGGCAGUACAGCAGCUUACCCUACAAAGACAACAUGAAUGACAACAGUGCAGCCUAAGUGCCAUCUGUGGCCUCAGAGGAGACAGCUCCACCCAGUCACACUCUGAUGGAGCUUUCUGCCUUCUGGUUAAGUUAGCUGAGUUGAGUUUUGGUCUACUGCAGCUGAAGAGUCCUUUUUCUAAUACAUCAAUGGUCAAAGUGUUCUAGAGACCUAGCUCUUCCCAUGGCGCCCCAGACUAGGAUGAAAUCUCUUUCUUCUUUUCUCGUUUGCAUUCCCACUCAAGUAUUCUUCAGUAUACGGACAUGAUCAUACUUAUGGUGAAUAUUUUCCAAAACAAAACUCAAGACAUAACUGGACAGUUACGGUAAUGCCGGGUUAGACUGUUAAAGUCAGGAGAGUUCCUCGACUCCUGUAUGUGGGGUUGCAGUUGCUCACUGGGUGCAAGUCUGCCUCUUUCCAUCAUAAAUGAUCUGAAGGCUGUGACUAUUUUUACCUCAUCUUUACAUCCUCCACAGUAAGUGGUAAACGAAUACAUGACUUAUCCAUACCAAUAGCAUGAACUGCUUUCUUCCUGAACUGAAGGCAAGCCCAUAUGGUUGCCACUGAGCUCCAAGAGCUCCACCGAUGUGGUCUUGAGAAGAGGAGGAAAUAAAGCCAAAUCCUCACAACUGGUUAUUAACAGGGCCCUGUAAUGCUUAUUUGUGGAAAGAAACUUAAUAGAUAACAAUUACUGGGGGCUCAUUAUGUGCCAGGCAUUGAGCUUAGUGCUACACACACACACACACACACACACACACACACACAGACAGACACACACACACACACACACACACACACACACACAGACAGACACACACACACACACACACACACACACACACACACACACACACACAGAGUUUUCAUUUAUUUCCCAUAAUAAUCUCAUGAGAUAGGCCCUGUUCAUCUCCAUUUUACUAUGGGGAAACCCCCAAAUAGCAUGUUCUCAUUUGAAAAGGAGAAAUAGUAAUCUCACAGACUUGUUACAUAUUUGUACUGAGAAGACGCACGUAAAACAGAACUAUUUCUAGCAGGGUUAGCUUUCAAGAAAUGUUAGCUGUUAUCGUUACUAGGCAAAUAUAGAGAUAGGCAUAUAAACAGCUAUACUACAAAGAAGACUGUGACAAUAGUUGCAAUCAUAACAAGCAAAGGGCUGUAGGAGACAAAAAAAGCCAGAUGCAUAUAUUGGUGAUUUUCACUCAUAAUAGGUGUUCAGAGAUCUCCAUCUUUUGUAAUGUCUAUAAUCCAUAUAAUGUUAACUACCCUACAUCAAGAACACAACUCCAGUUUCAAUGAAAAAAUAUUUCCUUUAUAAUCGAACAGGUUACCAUUAUCUAAGAACGCAGAAUGUGGAAAAGACUUGUGUAUUGGAGAGCAUGAGAGGCAGGGUUCACUUACACUGACAUAGUCCUUCAGGAUGUAGCGCGCAGAUCGAGGCUGGUCUGGCUGUCCAUGCGCUGUCAUGAAUCCUCGCAUGUCUGUGGAGAGAAAAGAAUUUUGCAAAAUCUUAGAUGACAGAAUAUCACAACAAAGACAACUGAGGUGAUGUAGCUUCUAUUACUAAGCAUUCUUACUCUUGGAUUUUAAAAAAUUAGGUAUCAUUGUAGAAUAUAUAUUGUUUAGCAUUAAAAACACUAGAUAAUCCAGGAGAAUAUUUACUUAUAUCUGAUAUCCUAAAAAUGCCACCUAGCACCACGCUAUGAAAGACAAAUUCGAUUUCUCUCUACUCCAGUUAUUUCUUCUCUUUAUUUUAUUUUUAUUUUAUUUUUUGUUGAGAUGGAGUCUCGUUCUGUUGCCCAGGCUGGAGUGCAGAGGCACAAUCUUGGCUCACUGCAACCUCCACCUCCCAGGUUCAAGCAAUUCUGAUGCCUCAGCCUCCCAAGUACCUGGGAUUACAGGCGCAUGCCACCACGCCUGGCUACUUUUUGUAUUUUUAGUAGAGAUGGGGUUUCACCACGUUGUUCAGGCUGGUCUUGAACUCCUGACCUCAGGUGAUCCACCCACUUCGGCCUCCCAAAGUGCUGGGAUUACAAGCGUGAGGCACUACACCCAGCCUCCUUAUUUUAAACAUUUAUUCAUGGAGGCUACCUGUAGGAGAAUGCUACGCUAUCAAUACUACUUGCAAAACAGAAAGCAACAGAGAAGUUUUCUUACUGAAUGAUGUACCUACAUUUUUUUCCCCAGUAAGAUCCCUUUAAUACUAACUCAAUUAGAAAAGCAGCGAAGCAUGGUGGUUAAGAACACGGCUUCAGCAGACAGGCUGCGUUCAAAACUCAGUUCCCUCACAUACUAGCUGUCGACUGGCUUUUCCAGUUUCGAAGAAAAUAGUUAGAAUCCUAAUUUACACAAUAUACAACAAUAAAUUUCGUCAGAUUAAAAAUCUAAAUGUUAAAAAAGUAAGUAAAUAUUACAGGAAGAUAGUUUUAUCUUUUUGGGAGGGAGAAGACCUUCCCAAGUAAAACACCAAACCCAGUCAAACCAAAAAGGAAAAAUAUAGUCUAUUAAAAUUGUCAACUUCUUUGGGGCCAAAGAAACCAUAAAUUAACAUUGGAAAAAAUGUGUAGCACAUAUAACAAAGAACUUUUACAAAUCAUUAAGACAGAACCAUGUAUAGGAAAAUGUGAUUCCCAGAAGAAAAAUAAAUGGUCACAAAACAUUUGGAAA
Long non-coding RNA from Homo sapiens (human), 2995 nucleotides. RefSeq annotates it as TMEM44 antisense RNA 2. NCBI's taxonomy places the organism in Eukaryota, Metazoa, Chordata, Mammalia, Primates, Hominidae. The transcript is spliced from 2 exons. The record is from RefSeq and is marked validated.